RNAcentral lists this ribosomal RNA (555 nucleotides) under uncultured bacterium. Its description in RNAcentral is "partial 16S ribosomal RNA". It matches the Rfam family "Bacterial small subunit ribosomal RNA", at positions 355 to 900 of the family's 1533-position model. The record is from RNAcentral.
UAGGGAAUCUUCCACAAUGGACGCAAGUCUGAUGGAGCAACGCCGCGUGAGUGAAGAAGGUUUUCGGACCGUAAAGCUCUGUUGUUGGUGAAGAAGGAUAGAGGUAGUAACUGGCCUUUAUUUGACGGUAAUCAACCAGAAAGUCACGGCUAACUACGUGCCAGCAGCCGCGGUAAUACGUAGGUGGCAAGCGUUGUCCGGAUUUAUUGGGCGUAAAGCGAGCGCAGGCGGAAGAAUAAGUCUGAUGUGAAAGCCCUCGGCUUAACCGAGGAAUUGCAUCGGAAACUGUUUUUCUUGAGUGCAGAAGAGGAGAGUAGAACUCCAUGUGUAGCGGUGGAAUGCGUAGAUAUAUGGAAGAAUACCAGUGGCGAAGGCGGCUCUCUGGUCUGCAACUGACGCUGAGGCUCGAAAGCAUGGGUAGCGAACAGGAUUAGAUACCCUGGUAGUCCAUGCCGUAAACGAUGAGUGCUAAGUGUUGGGAGGCUUCCGCCUCUCAGUGCUGCAGCUAACGCAUUAAGCACUCCGCCUGGGGGAGUACGACUGCAAGGUUGAAAC